RNAcentral lists this ribosomal RNA (292 nucleotides) under uncultured bacterium. Its description in RNAcentral is "partial 16S ribosomal RNA". It matches the Rfam family "Bacterial small subunit ribosomal RNA", at positions 505 to 796 of the family's 1533-position model. The record is from RNAcentral.
GUGCCAGCAGCCGCGGUAAUACAGAGGGUGCGAGCGUUAAUCGGAGUUACUGGGCGUAAAGGGCGCGUAGGCGGUUUAGUGAGUGUGAUGUGAAAGCCCUGGGCUUAACCUAGGAAGCGCAUCGCAAACGACUAAACUGGAGUAUAAGAGAGGGUGGCGGAAUUUCCGGUGUAGCGGUGAAAUGCGUAGAGAUCGGAAGGAACGUCAAUGGCGAAGGCAGCCACCUGGCUUAAUACUGACGCUGAGGCGCGAAAGCGUGGGGAUCAAACAGGAUUAGAUACCCCGGUAGUCC